ACAAAGGGCAGCAAGUUCGCGAGGACAAGCAAAUCCCAUAAACCGUGGCUCAGUUCAGAUCGUAGGCUGCAACUCGCCUACGUGAAGGAGGAAUCGCAAGUAAUCGCAGGUCAGCAUACUGCGGUGAAUACGUUCCCGGGCCUUGUACACACCGCCCGUCACACCAUGGAAGUUGGCCACGCCCGAAGCCGUUACUCCAACCCUUGUGGAGGAGGACGUCGAAGGUGGGGCUGAUGACUGGGGUGAAGUCGUAACAAGGUAUCCGUACCGGAAGGUGCGGAUGGAUCACCUCCUAAC
RNAcentral lists this ribosomal RNA (297 nucleotides) under uncultured Synechococcus sp. RNAcentral describes it as "partial 16S ribosomal RNA". It matches the Rfam family "Bacterial small subunit ribosomal RNA", at positions 1239 to 1533 of the family's 1533-position model. The record is from RNAcentral. Lineage: Bacteria; Bacillati; Cyanobacteriota; Cyanophyceae; Synechococcales; Synechococcaceae.